CAGGAAGAGCACUUAGGGCUAUUUAGUGCCAUGAAUAUAUACAACCACCGAUGGCAACUACUUUCCAGUAUUCCUUAUCUUUCCCGAAGGAGUGCUGAACUUCUCAGCAGAGCUACAGAGGCAGCACCAAGGACUGUGUGCUAUAGAGGGUGACGGAAGCAGGGUGCAUUGACGCAGGAAGGAAGUAGGGUGCUGCUGAGCACUGUAAAUACAACAGCUCAGCACAGAGAGGGCUGAAUCCUUCAUGUUGCCAUGCUGAAGUGGUCCUUGGUCAGUCUUCAGCCUCCUUGUGAUCCUACAGGCAGUCACGAAUGUUAGAGUACAUGGGAAGCACCUGAGAGCAGCAAAUCUACAGCCACUCAUUGGAAUCACUUUUCUGGAACUAUUUCCCUCAAAAAUCCAUUUCAGAGAGGACUUUAAUGUGGAUCUCUGAAGCCUGGAAAAUAAGUAACAGUUGUGGGGUAAUUAACCUAAAUUAGCUAUUACUAAUUUUUUUUGUAGAAGUAAAUUCCUAGAUGUAGAAAUCAACCCACAGAACAGUAGGAAAAUGAAUAUGGAAAUACCAGCAUGAAAGAAAUCAGGAAACCUGUUUAUCCGCCGUGUUCUGCCAAAUGAACAAUCAGAAAAUGUGGUGGUUUUUUUCUCCUCAUGGCUUUUUCAGUUACAAGAAUUUAGGCAAAGUGAGAGGUACAUCAGCAACAGCUCUCUGAGGAGAGGUUGUGUGAGCUGGACUGCAGGCGUGCGGAGACAGCCUUCACGUUUAUUGGAAGGUUUGCUUGAAACCGGAUCAAAGGGGAGUGAUUCCCACCCCUUCGUUAGUCUUAACCAGUGAUUAAGAAAUAAUGAUGUUAACGAAACAAGUCUGAAAAUUUUCAUCUUUUUCAUCAUCUCCUUUGAAGGUUUACAUAAAAGAAGGUAGGACUGAGCUUAGACAUAAAACUUUUCUUUAAUACACUGCAUAAAACCAUUUUUCUAAAAAUAUUUAAAUGGUAAAUUACUCCCACCUUUUCUUAAGUAGAAAAUGUCUUGUGAGAUCAUGCUUCUCUCUUUUCUAUAAAACAUGAUUUUUCUAUAUGCAGAAAUAUUAGGAAUUGUUUCUGUUUUGGGUAUGUGCCAGAAUUUAACUCCUCACACUUUUAUGUUUUCAAGUACUGAAAGAAAAAUGAUUUAAAAAAAAAAAAAAAAGUUUUCUGUGACUGAAACAGAGCUCAUUUACCUUUGUAAUUUUCUAUUAAUUUACUACUAGGAUUCAUUUUGCAUUUAAUUCAGUCCUCUAAUGGCUUAAAACUGUGUCUUUGGUCUUUACACAUUUGUGGUCUCAGUCGUGUCAAGCUUUUUCAUCUACUUUAUGUUCAUUUAUUUUAACUUUUAGUGGUCUUCUAGCCAAUUCUUUAUCCUUUUUAUUACAAGAGCAUGAAAUUUUAUAAUGCCCUAGAGCUUUGUUAGUCAGCUGCUACAAGGUUCUUAACCUUAGUUAAUUUAUUCUUUCACUUUUGACUUUCAGAUAUGGAGCAUGCUUUAAUAUUUUGGUUUUGAAUAUGAAAGCAACUUUUAUUAAGUAGGUUUACUGCAUUAAUAGAUCUUUAUUUCAUUUUACAGUAGUGUUUAGCUAUACAAUAUAUCAUUUUACAUAAUAAUUUAUAAUUUGGGGUAAUAUAAUUUAAACUUUUUCUAUAUUAAAAUGUUGCUAAUAUAAAAA
RNAcentral lists this long non-coding RNA (1699 nucleotides) under Anser brachyrhynchus (Pink-footed goose). RNAcentral describes it as "lncRNA (ENSABRG00000021965.1)". The record is from RNAcentral. Lineage: Eukaryota; Metazoa; Chordata; Aves; Anseriformes; Anatidae.